Molecule: non-coding RNA, 114 nt
Organism: Acanthosepion pharaonis
Lineage: Eukaryota; Metazoa; Mollusca; Cephalopoda; Sepiida; Sepiidae
Source: the annotation of a GenBank genome assembly
UUGCAGCCAUAUCAUUUUGAAACGCGGGUUCCUCUGCAAUCAUCGAAGGUAAGAAUCAUUGUGCCUGGUCAGUAUCGAGAUGGGUGACCACUUGUGAAUACUAAGUGUUGUAAG